UACUUUCUAUAGCUGCUGAUACAGCUAUGAAGUAACCAUUUUUCAAUACCAUUGUGGGAUGCCUUUAAACUGGUAUUUGGUUUCAUACAUGCACUGUCCAGUUGAUGAAUGGAUCUGCUUGGUUUUGGCCUGGGGCAUCUAAGUGAGGUGCUCACCUGAUGGAUGGCCUGGAUCUCAUUCGCAUCUAAGAUACACUACUUAUUUUGACUUGUCCCUCUAGAUUGAGAUGUUUCUUAGAUACUCCAUUAUACAUGGAUUGGAGUUUCCUUUCUUACCAUCCUUCAUAACAAUCAUCUGUUCUGUUAGAUCAUCCACUCAACCUGUCAUAGGAUCUGUCAUACUAUUCAUAGCACCUAUCUGUUCUGUUACCACUUGCAUCUGCUGCAUCAUCUUCCUCCAAAGCUUGUUUUGAUCUUCCCCUUCCAUCCUAGGACUAAAAGAUGUCCAGCUAUGUGUGUGCAUUUAAUUUUGGAACUAGAUGGGGGCAAAGAUUUGACUGGAAUAUGGACAAAUUUUGGAAAUUUGGUGGAUUGUUAUUGGGUUGCAAUUGGACAAAGCCAUUUUAAAUUCAAAAGGUGAUGGUAAUUGCACUGCAGGUUAUAGGUUGGAAGUUGGCUAAUUUAAGAACUGAUUGAGGGUCUGUUUGGGACAGAUUUUGAGGUUGGAUGUGUAAUAGGAUUGAAGUUGGGGAAGGAAUGAGCUGUAGUUUGUACUGUGGACAGAGAUGGGUGUUUAAGGUUGUUUUGGAGUAUGCAGAUUCUGAAGGCUGUUUAUGACAGGUAGUGUGCAUAGUUGGGUGGUUCCUAGGUUGAGAACUAGGACGGGCUCUAGGGCUGGGUUCUGUUCUGGAAAAUAUGAUUGUGACCGUUCAUGGGAGCCUGUUUUCUCCUUUUCCUUUCGGAAUGACAUACCCAUAUGGACACAUUAUCAUACCUUGGCAUGGAUGUGGAUAUGGAGACUGCUCAAUUUAAAAAAUAGCAGCAUGUGGCUAUAGCCAUAACCAUGCCAUAUCCCGUAUUCCUACCCAUACUGUAUAGUUUAGGUACAACUACUCUUGAUCUGUACAAGUGUGUAGGUACCAUAGUGGUUGCAUGCUACAUGCAUUCUUGUGACAGCAUUCACUGCUUGAUUAUUAUUAUUAUUAUUAUUAUUUUACGAAGGUCUUCUAAUUUCUGAUGUAGAUGGAGAUGCAGUUGCUUUACUCCAAGCUUCAUGAUAAGUACACAGAACUGAAGGUUUGCAUGGCUUUUGACACUAGUCUAUUUUUACAAGAAUUAUUGAGAAGUACCUUCUUCUUCUUUUUUUCUUUUUUCUUUUCUUUCUUUUUUUCAUUACUUCUCCUAAUGGUUUGGGCUCGGCAUGUUUAGAUGAGAAAGGAUCAAAGGAAUCUGAGAUUGAGCAGUACAACCAUGAACAGAAAUCAAAGUUUAUGAAUUAUGUAUCUGGUACUCUUUUUCCUCAUCAUAUUUCUCAUCCUUCAUUUACUUCAUUUGGUUUUAUUGCAUUUUUUAUCAUGCUUCAAAAUUGUCAGCAGCACCUAUUAUGUCAGUCGAUAUCUCUAUUGAACUGUAUUAUGCUGUUGAUAAUCUACUUUUUUUUUUUUUCCCUCUUAUAUUCUUUUCUUCAGAUCCUACUACAUGGACCGCCCCAUUUCUUCAAAACCAAUCUGCCUUGACUUUUUUGUGGUAGCAUAUGGCCUCUUCAUGAAAUAAUUUCUUAAUAUAUUGCAUGCUUUCUGAACCCAUUGUCAUGUUUAUCUCUUCUUUCUGUAUUAUUUUCCCAGCUGAUUACCCUUAAUCGCUCUUCAUCUUCGAAAAACAGCAUCACAAGUCAUGGUUGUGAGUCUUGUGACUGGAUUUUUAACUGUGGAUAUUAUUUUCAGGACAACAAAUAAGGACAAAUGUUGAAGCUGUGGAACCAUCUACCCAAUUGGGAUUGCGAACACUGUUUGGCUUGGCAUGAAUUGAAUGUAAAGAUUAAUGCUAUAAAUGCUGCAACUGAAGCAGUUUGUCUUAUUCUAAGUGUGGAUGAGACGGUGAAAACACAGGUAAAGUCAACUUGUUAAAGAUGGUGGUUUUUAAAUUUUCUAUUUUUAUUUUUAUAACUUGCCUCAACCUGUCAUUGGUGCUUAUAUAGGUUUCUCUGUUCCAGUUCUUGCAUUAGACCUGGUUCUUCUGGUUACUACGUUGCUCGCUCUUGACAAAUUGCAUUUCUUUGCAUGAGCCCAUUGAAGCACAGCACAUGCUGUGAUUUUGCUUCACAUUUGAUUUGCAUUGUUAAGGAUCUUCUAGAGUUAUAUGCAAAGGAGCAUCAUAUUCUUGGCAUGAAUAAACCCCAACAACUGAGAGAGUUGGAAAUCUUUGUUUCAUUCAAGGAGCUACAAGUAUGACGGUCCUCAGAAGUUUAUGGCAGGCCUAUGGCUCCAUGAGCACUGGGGAGGUUCAGAUCAUGCCCUGGUACAGCUCACGAAUUCUCUUUUCGUAUGAUCAGAAAAUACAAAAAGUAUGUCUUCACUAUUUGCAGAUUAAAGGAAGCAUGUCUUCACUAUUGGCAGGCCUAUUGGCUCCAUGAGCACUGGGGAGGUUCAGAACAUACAAAAAGUAUGUUUGUCAAGUCUCACUCUCUGUCAUGCAGCACAUUGCCAAACUUGUUGGGAACAGAACUCUAGUUCUGCCCGUGCCUGCAUUUAAUGCCAUCAAUGGAGGAUCACAAGCAGGCAAUAAGCUGGCAAUGCAGGUAUGGUUGAAACAAAUAAUAUGUUAUGAGAAGUGUUGUUGUGAAAAUGACAAUCUUAAUAUGUUAUGAGAAGUGUUGUUGUGAAAGUGACAAUCUUUUCGACUGUGUUUCUUUUUUAUUUUUAUUUUAUAUUUCAUAUUUUAUAUUUUAUAGGAGUUUAUGAUCCUUCCUGUUGGGGCAUCCAUUUUCAAAUAAAAGUAUGAUUUUUGUU
Molecule: RNA transcript, 2947 nt
Organism: Magnolia sinica
Lineage: Eukaryota; Viridiplantae; Streptophyta; Magnoliopsida; Magnoliales; Magnoliaceae
Exons: 4
Source: RefSeq, a predicted model, not a curated record